AUUGAACGCUGGCGGCAGGCCUAACACAUGCAAGUCGAGCGGAUGAAGGGAGCUUGCUCCUGGAUUCAGCGGCGGACGGGUGAGUAAUGCCUAGGAAUCUGCCUGGUAGUGGGGGAUAACGUCCGGAAACGGGCGCUAAUACCGCAUACGUCCUGAGGGAGAAAGUGGGGGAUCUUCGGACCUCACGCUAUCAGAUGAGCCUAGGUCGGAUUAGCUAGUUGGUGGGGUAAAGGCCUACCAAGGCGACGAUCCGUAACUGGUCUGAGAGGGUGAUCAGUCACACUGGAACUGAGACACGGUCCAGACUCCUACGGGAGGCAGCAGUGGGGAGUAUUGGACAAUGGGCGAAAGCCUGAUCCAGCCAUGCCGCGUGUGUGAAGAAGGUCUUCGGAUUGUAAAGCACUUUAAGUUGGGAGGAAGGGCAGUAAGUUAAUACCUUGCUGUUUUGACGUUACCAACAGAAUAAGCACCGGCUAACUUCGUG
This 484-nucleotide ribosomal RNA is filed under the name uncultured bacterium. RNAcentral's name for it is "partial 16S ribosomal RNA". It matches the Rfam family "Bacterial small subunit ribosomal RNA", at positions 30 to 507 of the family's 1533-position model. The record is from RNAcentral.